RNAcentral lists this ribosomal RNA (442 nucleotides) under uncultured Pseudomonadota bacterium. RNAcentral describes it as "bacterial SSU rRNA". It matches the Rfam family "Bacterial small subunit ribosomal RNA", at positions 52 to 496 of the family's 1533-position model. The record is from RNAcentral. Lineage: Bacteria; Pseudomonadati; Pseudomonadota.
UACAUGCAAGUUGAACGAGAAAGUAUCUUCGGAUGCGAGUACAGUGGCGGACGGGUGAGUAAUACAUAGGAAUCUACCCAAUGGAGGGGGAUAGCUCGAGGAAACUCGAAUUAAUACCGCAUAAUCUCCACGGAGUAAAGAGGGCUUCGGCUCUCGCCAUCGGAUGAGCCUAUGCAAGAUUAGCUUGUUGGUAAGGUAAUGGCUUACCAAGGCUACGAUCUUUAGCUGGUUUGAGAGGACGACCAGCCACAUCGGGACUGAGACACGGCCCGGACUUCUACGGAAGGCAGCAGUAGGGAAUAUUGGACAAUGAGCGAAAGCUUGAUCCAGCCAUGCCGCGUGUGCGAUGAAGACCUUAGGGUUGUAAAGCACUUUAGGUUAUGAGAAAAGAUUUGGUAUUAAUACCACCAAAUUUUGAUGUUAAUUUCAGAAUAAGCACCGG